UGGCUGUCGUCAGCUCGUGUCGUGAGAUGUUGGGUUAAGUCCCGCAACGAGCGCAACCCUUGAUCUUAGUUGCCAUCAUUAAGUUGGGCACUCUAAGGUGACUGCCGGUGACAAACCGGAGGAAGGUGGGGAUGACGUCAAAUCAUCAUGCCCCUUAUGACCUGGGCUACACACGUGCUACAAUGGACGGUACAAAGAGCUGCAAGACCGCGAGGUGGAGCUAAUCUCAUAAAACCGUUCGGCUGCAACUCGCCUACAUGAAGCUGGAAUCGCUAGUAAUCGCGGAUCAGCAUGCCGCGGUGAAUACGUUCCCGGGCCUU
RNAcentral lists this ribosomal RNA (320 nucleotides) under uncultured bacterium. RNAcentral's name for it is "bacterial SSU rRNA". It matches the Rfam family "Bacterial small subunit ribosomal RNA", at positions 1046 to 1382 of the family's 1533-position model. The record is from RNAcentral.